Molecule: ribosomal RNA, 428 nt
Filed under: uncultured bacterium
Lineage: Bacteria
Description: bacterial SSU rRNA
Rfam family: Bacterial small subunit ribosomal RNA
Source: RNAcentral
GGGCCCGCACAAGCGGUGGAGCAUGUGGUUUAAUUCGAUGCAACGCGAAGAACCUUACCAGGUCUUGACAUCCUCGGAACUUGGCAGAGAUGCCUUGGUGCCUUCGGGAGCCGAGUGACAGGUGCUGCAUGGCCGUCGUCAGCUCGUGUCGUGAGAUGUUGGGUUAAGUCCCGUAACGAGCGCAACCCUUGUCCUUAGUUGCCAGCACGUCAUGGUGGGAACUCUAGGGAGACUGCCGGUGACAAACCGGAGGAAGGUGGGGACGACGUCAGGUCAUCAUGGCCCUUACGACCUGGGCUACACACGUGCUACAAUGGCUGGUACAGAGGGUUGCGAAGUCGCGAGGCGAAGCUAAUCCCAUAAACCGUGGCUCAGUUCAGAUCGUAGGCUGCAACUCGCCUACGUGAAGGAGGAAUCGCUAGUAAUCG